Trichonephila inaurata madagascariensis is the source of this 73-nucleotide non-coding RNA. Lineage: Eukaryota; Metazoa; Arthropoda; Arachnida; Araneae; Nephilidae. The record is from the annotation of a GenBank genome assembly.
GGGGGUAUAGUUCAGGGGAUAGAGCAUUCGACUGCAGAUCGAGAGGUCCUCGGUUUAAAUCCGGGUGUCCUCU